GGACUAGUCCAUCUUCUUUCUACAACAAAAUGAAAAGAAAAAAAAAGCAAAGAAGGAUAACAAAUGAUCCGGCACAAAGAAUGAAGUGUGCUUGCGUUUAAGGUGGGGACUGGGGAAGAGAGGGUAAAUUAGAUUGAUUGAUGCAUUUUUUCACUACCCACUCUCGAGGCAUGAAUGACAUGAAAUUGAGAAGACCACUAUUCAUGAUUGCCUUCAAUUCUUCUGCAACAAAAAACUAACUUCUAACUCUGUCCGUUCUUCACUUGGCCAUCAGAAACAAGGGGCUUAAUGCACAGUCGUGGCUUUACACUGACGAGGUUUUGAUGAAGAACAGAGACAGCAGCAACUAAUGAUCCGUUGGGCACUCCCGAAAGAGGCAGCAACUCAACAAGAAUGGAAAGCUCUGGAGACUUAAGGUCAACAGAUGAAUCUGAUACAGCUUCUUUACCCGCAAAAGCCACAAUUUCAAAGCAUUUGUUUCGGUCCAACAAAGAACACUUAUUAGAAUCCUUCAUAAACUUCACUUGCAUCUCUUCAAUACCUCUUCUGUUAUAACCAACUGCAAACUUUAUAGGAUGUGAAAGUUUGUUUUGUUUGUCAUUCAUGAAUUGAA
This 613-nucleotide unclassified non-coding RNA is filed under the name Hevea brasiliensis (rubber tree). The record is from RNAcentral. Lineage: Eukaryota; Viridiplantae; Streptophyta; Magnoliopsida; Malpighiales; Euphorbiaceae.